UGUUUCCUCACAUAUACCGUCUUCCUAUACCACUAAUACAAAAUAACAGUGUCCAUGCAUUUGAUGGGGUACGCAAUCGGGUUCACCACAUGCGUGGCGAUUUUUUGUACUUUGCCCACGUGAUGAAUGGGUAUUGUUCAUUUGCUCCGCCAUGAAUAAAGCCCAAACACGAUUGUCUGGUAAUACAACCCAUUCAAUUUAUUUAAAAUCCCAUCAACCAAUGGUAGUGGACUGCAAGUAUUGGGUGUCUCUCGUCAUAUGUCUGCUCCACGAUAUGAGCCAAUCAGUCCAAUCCACUAGGUCUAACCUUUGUAUUAGGUAUGCGAGGUACUCAUCUCUUCGGGCCUCUUAAAUAUGGCGCCCAAAGACGGUAUACGUGAGGAAACAGAGUAUUACAACCUAUAUCACUCUGAUAUUUCGAGAACUGUUCUUCCCAUAACCAGUGUUCUUCAACUAGCAAAAAAAAUCAGUGUCCUAGGUGUCUUAGGUGACUCCUCAGGAGUACAGGACCACAUUUCAUAAAGCACAGUGUAGAGUUUUAUUAUUCAAACGCGAUAUAGCUGUUUUAUCACAUGCCGUAGAUUCUAAUAUUUUCAAAUAAACUGGGCAGCAGCGCCUUUUAAACCAUUCGCCUCUCGAUUUCACCAACCAACGAAGAUUUUCGUCAAGUCAAUUGUCAAUUUCAGGUAGCCUGUAAUCGGUAUAGUAAUUUGAAUAUACCACGCAUUUUCAGGACAAUUCAAGGGGUGGCAAAAUCGAAUAUAGAUGGCAAAAGCAAAGUAGAAAGCGAUGAAGUCUGGCACCUCGUGCAGAGGUUCAAUUUUUGGAGAGUUUGCCGUCACUGCAGCGAGAGCAUGUUUCGAUUCAGCGUGUGCGUUCGUAUGGCAGUCUCCCAUUCAGUUUAGUCCUCUACAGUUCGGCAUUGGUCGCUUGUCCUAAUCUAUGCUCGGAAAAAACUUUGGUCAACUUUUCGGCGGAUGAACGAUCAUCGCCAAUAUGUUGCUUGCAGAUGGGUAUUUGCCAGAGCAGUCGAUUGGCUGAAACGGACCACUUGUUUUAAAGCGGUUUCCUGCUGUUUGUUUCCCGCUUCACUGAAAGCCCAAAUUAACAAAUUCUAAUAAAAGUAUCCAAGAUGUUACCACGAUGUUUUAUUUUAAUUCUAGUGCAGGUAAUAUCAAUAAUGCUAAGAAGUUAUUUUUUGUAAAAUAUCGGCACUAUUUCAGGUCCACAGAAGUAGUUCUGCUGCUCUCUCAUUUUGAAAUGUUGUUGUUUGAAUGAGCCAAUCAGAUCUUUGUUUGAAUUAGGUCAAGAUUUUGAAUGAAUAAAUGCAACUUUUAUUAUCAUUGCGUCGAGUGGUCAUGAUCAUGCCUUGUGUUUGAUAUAGUGGUCUCGUACAUUUUCGGCAAUAACUGACAAUGGUCCCAACCCGAAGCAGGUUUUACAAGAAGGUUACACAUGAUCAAGAAAUAAUUCAGCCAGGUUUUGCUGAUAAAAACAUGCGAUCGAGGUGUCAUUGCGCAUUUGUUUGCUUUUUGAUGCUAGGUUGCAAAACUAUUAAUACUCGAGAGCAUGCUGGCGGCCAUCUUUGCCGACUGCACAGUGAGAAGGGAGCAUGUUUGGAGAGGGAGGACGUAACGAUUACUACAGGAUGGCUUAUGUAUCAACUAGAGGAGAAAAGCACUGAAGCGUACAGAGUAACUGAACCAGUCGUUUUCAAACCUCCCGUAUCGGCCAUUUUGAGCAAAUAUGAAGCCAGGCUGUGCAUGCCGGAUGACAAUUCUAAUUCGAUACUAUUUAUUUAUCAAGAGGACAGAGGACAUUUUCCUGUUUUAAGAAAUAUACUUGUCUACCAACCUAAACAAAAGAAUGUUUACGCACUGGUUCAUAAUGUGUCUGUUUCCUCUCGUUUCGUUAUAAUGUUCAAUGAUAUUCACAAAGGGAAAUUAUGGCUACUUGACUUCGUGCGCUGGAGAAGUGGGCGUGAAAAGGUUGUAUUUAAGUUGUUGGAGAUAUUAACUGGUCGCUAUGACACAAUGAUCCUACCUCGUCAUCACCAAUGCUCAGCAUCCAGAUCCGCGUUUUCCCAGCCGCUUCUCUUGAAAAACAUCAUGGCAGUAGGAUGUCGUGUUAAGGGUGCUUCUAGUCAGUUGAUCACCGUGUUUAGCGUUACGUGGAUACAUGAUCAAGCGACGCUCUUAAAACUUGAUAGUUGGCUCACAAGUCCUGGCAAUGCCCUAAUUCUUUUUGGCAAUCGACAAGGUCAUUUAUUAUGCUGUAGAAGUGAAGGUAGAGGUUUCCUUGAACUAUAUCGUGCCUUCCCUAAACCUAAAAUAGUGUUGGAAUGGUUUUCGUUAUCAUUUUACUCAUUUCAUGCGUAUAGCAUCAACUAUCGAAAGGAAUCAACGCUUUUAUUGGCAUAUAUGCAUGUAAACAAAAACGUGUUUUCCAGGGUAAUAUUUAUCAGAGGCAUAUGCUAUCCUCUGGCUCCUUUGAAUUCUGUAACAAAGUUUAAUAAGAUGGCCAUUGUUUCGGUCAGUAAUUGGCAUAUUGGGAUACCGCGGAAACAAAGUAAAUAUGGUAAAGAACGCAGAAUAGUAAUGCUACCUAAUAGCGUUCUAUUAUCCCCCGUACGGACUGUCAAAGAUAUGGGUAAAGGACAUAGCAAGGAGACAAUAAAAUACGCCAAACGGUUUACGCCAAUUGGUUAGCAAAACGCGUCGAAAGGUUUCCUGGCCAUGCACAGAAAUUAGUAAAACCACUCGAGUAGGAUUUCCGAGGUCGGGUGAUUGGUCUUUAGCCAGAAAACCCGUGAGCCAGCAGGUCGAGGAGAUUACCGGGGCCAAUAAGAGACCGAUCACUGGUGUGAUCUGCUAUCUUGACAGUUUAACCAGCGUUAAUCAAACUCGGUCGAAAAUAUGUAGACCGAAGGUUUGUCAACGGCGAAAACCGAAUUUUUAUCCAUUCCGUAGAUUUUAGUACGUCACAGACAUGUUGAUCGAAACUUAAAAACUGUGAAAUAUUUCAAUAUUUUGAUAACGGGUAAGAGAGCGAGAAUCAUCCUCGAUGAAUAAAUUGGUUCCCAGAACGGGAUAGCGAAACCUCUCUAAAAUAGAAAAUGUACGAAAGCCGAGAGGGAUCAUCCGAGAUCCGAAAUUCGAAAUCAGGGAUCUGAAAUCCGAAAUCCGAGCUCCGUGAUGCAAUAUCUGAAUUAUCAAAUCAGCAGCGGCGUUACUAGACGUUGACGCAACUAGCUAAUGAAGUCAGGCGUAUCAAUCUUGGCACUAGAGGGUGUUGAUCGGGGCUCGUGAACGCCCUCUAGCGCAGGUGUUAUACUGGUGGUGGGUUUUUUUCACUACAGGAGAAAUGGAAUACCAGAGCUUUGAAACUACUUUCACCAACGGAUGAUAGCAAUACUUAAGUGAGUGCAACAUUUACAUACUCGAUUACACAUUUCAUGACAUUUCGGUCCCUAACGUUCAUUACGGUUUUAUUCAGGUGGAGGGGAUUCAUAAGGCCAGAGCCCUGUGUCAAGUACAACCCUUUGCCAAUAGCAUAAUAAAGUUUCAAAACAUUCCAAUACCGUUUGCCUGAGAAAAAGUGAUUUCCGUACUCCAUAUCCAUCAAAACGUCACUGGCGCAUUGAUAUUGCCCUGUCAAAAUAUUAGUUCUAAACUGACCAGUGACACAAUGUGGAAUUAAUUCUCAAUCAGUGGUCGAUUCUUAAAAGAUUCUUAAAAGAAUCAACCACAGACUGAGAAUUAUUUCAACUUUGGUCCAUCCUAGCCAUGUAUUCACCACAACUUGACAAUAUAAUAAGCUCUAUGUGACUACCACACUUCCGGUUGUGGAUGAAUACAUGUCUCUGCCCAUAACAGGUAUUUAUCUUUUUUCAAUUUCAAUAUUGAGUUUUCUAAAGGGCUUUGUCUCCUAACAAUACUGCAUUUAGUUUCCAUUCGAUCGAUGCCAGUUUGAUAUCGGGAACAACUUUGUAAAGAACACAUUAUGUUUCUGUUGAUCAAUAAAGCGAUGCGUAGCCUCAUUGCAUGAACCAGGGAGAAGGCUUUGAUAGUACAGUGCUGCAUUUCAUAAAGCCUUCAACUUCCGCGACUGCUCGAUCUUCAAUUUAUGAGGCGGACGCCUGGGCCAAUGGGCCAUCGGGAUCGGUAUGUGAACACUUAAUGUUAUGUCGUCGGUACAAAGGUCCACAGAAAUAGUUCUGCUGCUCUCUCAUGUUGAAAUGUUGUUGUUUGAAUGAGCCAAUCAGAUCUUUGAUUGAAUUAGGUCAAGAUUUUGGUUGAAUAAAUGCAACUUUUCUUAUCAUUGCGUCCAGUGGUCAUGAUCAUGCCUUGUGUUUGAUAUAGUGGUCUCGUACAUUUUCGGCAAUAACUGACAAUGGUCCCAAUCCAAAGCAGGUUUUACAAGAAGGUUACACAUGAUCGAGAAAUAAUUCAGCCAAGUUUUGCUGAUAAAAACAUGCGAUCGAGGUGUCAUUGCGCAUUUGUUUGCUUUUUGAUGCUAGGUUGCAAAACUAUUAACACUCGAGAGCAUACUGGCGGCCAUCUUUGCCGACUGUACAGUGAGAAGGGAACAUGUUUGGAGAGGGAGGACGUAACGAUUACUACAGGAUGGCUUAUGUAUCAACUAGAGGUUAGAUUAGCGUCGAUUAGCACCAAUUUAAGACACGGCAUUCACAAACAACUUUAAUCGAACGUUUCUACGCGUGGUCAAGCGUGCAAUCCAGCCGUGUAAUAAUUUUCCCUAUAAACACAUGAAAAAGAACAAGUAUAUUUUUGAGGUCUGUGAAAUAAAAUACCCCUAAAUUCAAAACUUCAGAAAAGGGAGUCACACGUACAUGUAUUUAAGUCUUUGUCCAAAAGAUAACCUCGAAAAACAAAGUCUUUCUUGUACUGUGGUAACAGGAAUGAAAAGUAGUGCAGCUCUAAUCUACUUCUUCUUUAACAAAUCCUCUUUCAGGAGAAAAGCACUGAAGCGUACAGAGUUACUGAACCAGUCGUUUUCAAACCUCCCGUAUCGGCCAUUUUGAGCAAAUAUGAAGCCAGGCUGUGCAUGCCGGAUGACAAUUCUAAUUCGAUACUAUUUAUUUAUCAAGAGGACAGAGGACGUUUUCCUGUUAUAAGAAAUAUACUUGUCUACCAACCUAAACAAACGAAUGUUUACGCACUGGUUCAUAAUGUGUCUGUUUCCUCUCGUUUCGUUAUAAUGUUCAAUGAUAUUCACAACGGGAAAUUAUGGCUGCUUGACUUCGUGCGCCGGAGAAGUGGACGUGAAAAGGUUGUAUUUAAGUUGUUGGAGAUAUUAACUGAUCGCUAUGACACAAUGAUCCUACCUCGUCAUCACCAAUGCUCAGCAUCCAGAUCCGCGUUUUCCCAGCCGCUUCUCUUGAAAAACAUCAUGGCAGUAGGAUGUCGUGUUAAGGGUGCUUCUAGGCAGUUGAUCACCGUGUUUAACGUUACGUGGAUACGCGAUCAAGCGACGCUCUUAAAAUUUGAUAGUUGGCUCACAGGGCCCGGCAAUGCCCUAAUUCUUUUUGGCAAUCGACAAGGUCAUUUAUCAUGCUUUAGAAGUGUAGAUAGAGGUUCCCUUCAACUAAUUCGUGUCUUCCCUGAACCUAAAAAAGAGUUGGAAUGGUUUUCGUUAUCAUUUUACUCAUUUCGUGCGUAUAACAUCAACUAUCGAAAGGAAUCAACGCUUUUAUUGGCAUAUAUGCAUGUUUAUAACAAAAACGUAUUUUCCAGAGUAAUAUUUAUCAGAGGCAUAUGCUAUCCUCUGGCUCCUUUGAAUUCUGUAACAAAGUUUAAUAAGAUGACCAUUGUUUCGGUCAGUAAUUGGCAUAUUGUGAAUCCGAGGAAACAAAGUAAAUAUAUAAAAGAACGCAGAAUAGUAAUGCUACCUAAUAGCGUUCUAUUAUCCCCCGUGCGGACUAUUAAAGAUAUGGGUAAAGGACAGAGCAAGGAGACAAUAAAAUACGCCAAACGGUUUACGCCAAUUGGUUAGCAAAACGCGUCGAAAGGUUUACUGGCCAUGCACAGAAAUUAGUAAAACCACUCGAGUAGAAAUUCCGAGGUCGGGUGAUUGGUCUUUAGCCAGAAAACCCGUGAGCCAGCAGGUCGAGGAGAUUACCGGAACCAAUAAGAGACCGAUCACUGGUGUGAUCUGCUAUCUUGACGGUUUAACCAGCGUAAAUCAAACUCGGUGGAAAAAAUGUAGACCGAAGGUUUGUCAACGGCGAAAACCGAAUUUUUAGCCAUUCCGUAGAUUUUAGUAUGUCACAGCCAGGUUGAUCGAAACUUAAAAACUGUGAAAAAUUUCAAUAUGUUUGAUAACGGGUAAGAGAGCGAGAAUCAUUCUCGAUGAAUAAAUUGGUUCCCGGAACGGGAUAGUGAAACCUCUCUAUAAUCAAAAAUGUACGAAAGCCGAGAGGGAUCAUCCGAAAUACGAAAUUCGAAAUCAGAGAUCUUCAAUCCGAAAUCCGAGCUCCUUGAUGCAAUAUCUGAAUUAUCAAAUCAGCGGCGGCGUUACUAGACGUUGACGCAACUAGCUAAUGAAGUCAGGCGUAUCAAUCUUGGCACUAGAGGGUGUUGAUCGGGGCUCGUGAACGCCCUCUAGCGCAGGUGUUAUACUGGUGGUGGGUUUUUUUCACUACAGGAUAAAUGGAAUACCAGAGCUUUGAAACUACUUUCACCAACGGAUGAUAGCAAUACUUAAGUGAGCGCAACAUUUACAUACUCGAUUACAUAUUUCAUGACAUUUCGGUCCCUAACGUUCAUUACGGUUUUAUUCGGGUGGAGGGGAUUCAUAAGGCCAGAGCCCUCUAUUAAACACUGUGUACAUUAAGUGUACACUGUUGUUCAUAAAUUUAGGUAAAAAAGUACUUUGGAACAAUCAAUCUUCACAAAAUUGUAUAUGUGUCAAGUACAACCCUUUGCCAAUAGCAUAAUAAAGUCUCAAAGCAUUCCAAUACCGUUUGCCUGAGAAAAAAUGAUUUCCGUAAGCCAUAUCAAUCAAAACGUCACUGGCGCAUUGAUAUUGCCCUGUCAAAAUACUAGUUCUAAACUGACCAGUGACACAAUGUGGAAUUAAUUCUCAAUCAGUGGUCGAUUCUUAAAAGAUUCUUAAAAGAAUCAACCACAGACUGAGAAUUAUUUCAACUUUGGUCCAUCCCAGCCAUGUAUUCACCACAACUUGACAUUUUAAUAAGCUCUAUGUGACUGCCACACUUCCGGUUGUGGAUGAAUACAUGUCUCUGCCCAUAACAGGUAUUUAUCUUUUUUCAAUUUCAAUAUUGAGUUUUCUAAAGGGCUUUGUCUCCCAACAAUACUGCAUUUAGUUUCAAUCCGAUCGAUGCCAGUUUGAUAUCGGGAAC
This is a long non-coding RNA of Lineus longissimus, 7384 nucleotides long. RefSeq lists it as uncharacterized. The transcript has 3 exons. The record is from RefSeq and is a predicted model, not a curated record. NCBI's taxonomy places the organism in Eukaryota, Metazoa, Nemertea, Pilidiophora, Heteronemertea, Lineidae.